GAGCAUUCACUGGAGAGGUUUUGUGAGAAAUUAAAAAGAGAGAGUCCGUAGAGAGACACACGAGUGGAGAGAAAGGAAAAUAUUAAAAAAGGAGAUGAAUAGAGAGUCUGUCAGAGAAAAAACCAAAAAGAAGACGUGAGGAGAGAGGGAGAGGGAGAGAAAAAAUAAAAAAAGAAAAGAAAAGGAAAAGGCGUGCACUGUGCUUCUUCUUCGUGGGUUCUUUCUCCACAAAAGCCGCACGCCGUUCCGCUGCUGCCC
Molecule: long non-coding RNA, 258 nt
Filed under: Eucalyptus grandis
Lineage: Eukaryota; Viridiplantae; Streptophyta; Magnoliopsida; Myrtales; Myrtaceae
Description: long non-coding RNA (EGRA_LNC002043)
Source: RNAcentral